ACGUGCAUAGUUCAUAUGUAUUGUACUAAAAAAAUAAAAGGUGAGACUUUUGGUGGGGGAAAAAGAAAAAGAAUUUAAAAAGGUGAGACUUUAAUUUGUAUAUAUUGGAAUUAAUAAAAGGUAUUCCCAAAGUAGUAAAAAAGAGAGGGUUUUAUUUAGAUUGAUGGAAGAGAGAGAGGUGUGUUUUAGUUGGUUAGUGAAGAGCCCAAAGAAAGAACUUCUUCAUGAACAACAAGUUGUUCCUACACCUUCUUCCAUUUGGGAAGAUGAUUUCAGAGCUUUUUUCGACCUCACCCACGAAGAAACCCCCCCGCCGCCGCUGCAUCACCCGGACUACUACCAUUUCCAGAACCACGUCAAUGACGUUAUGGAAAACAACAACAAGGUUUCUAAUUUGAAUUUAAAUCUUAACUAUGAAGAGGUUUUGGAAGCAUGGUCCGACCGUGGAUCUCUUUGGGCCGCUGCAUCCUCUUCCCAUUCCAACGACUCAACUCACACCCCCUAUAUGGGAGAGGUUCCAAUAAUAAGAAUGGAGGAAGAAAGAAGAAGAAGGGUGAAGAGAUAUAAGGAAAAGCGUCAAGCAAGAAUAUUCUGUAAGAAGAUAAGAUACCAAGUUCGUAAGCUCAAUGCUGACAGAAGGCCUAGAAUUAAGGGGCGUUUUGUGAAGACAGAUUGUUGAAUGAAAAAAGAAAGAAAGAAAGAAAGAAAGAAAGAAAGAAAGAAAAAGUUGAAAAAUAUCUCAACACAACAAUAAAAGUAUCUCUCCAACUUUUCCUUUUAACAUUAUUCUUCAUGAAAAUAUCUAAAAUUUGUAUGCACAUAGAUAUAAUAUAUCUGUGUGAUGCUCAGAAGCUUUGUGUGUGGGACUGUGGGGUUUCUAAUUUCAAUAAUGGUGGGUCUGAUCUCCAGAGGGACCCCAACUUAAUUGUCCAUUUAUUGAAUUGAUACACACCCUCUCAGCUUCACCAUACCUUUAGCUACAUUUGUUACUCAUCUCAUCAUCUUCUUCAUCAUCAUCAUCACUCAUCACUCUCUCAACAAACCUUAAAUUAUAUAUUGUAACAACAGAACUUCCCCAUCACCUUUUCAAGUGUGAGUGUGUGUUUGGACACCACAGACUUAAUUAAGGAGCACUCUGAUGGAAAUGUUUCAUAUUUUCAUGA
Cucumis sativus (cucumber) is the source of this 1163-nucleotide long non-coding RNA. RefSeq annotates it as protein CHLOROPLAST IMPORT APPARATUS 2. The record is from RefSeq and is a predicted model, not a curated record. Lineage: Eukaryota; Viridiplantae; Streptophyta; Magnoliopsida; Cucurbitales; Cucurbitaceae. The transcript has 3 exons.